This 95-nucleotide transfer RNA is filed under the name Bordetella pertussis. RNAcentral describes it as "tRNA-Glu(ttc)". Lineage: Bacteria; Pseudomonadati; Pseudomonadota; Betaproteobacteria; Burkholderiales; Alcaligenaceae. The record is from RNAcentral.
CACGCGCCUGGCCGAUGGCUAUGCGCGGCCGGCUUUCGGCCGGUUCGCUGCAGGCCGCGCUGGCCGCGGCGGAUCCGGCGCUGCUGGCGCCUGGC